RNAcentral lists this ribosomal RNA (254 nucleotides) under uncultured bacterium. RNAcentral describes it as "partial 16S ribosomal RNA". It matches the Rfam family "Bacterial small subunit ribosomal RNA", at positions 524 to 776 of the family's 1533-position model. The record is from RNAcentral.
UACGUAGGGUGCGAGCGUUGUCCGGAAUUAUUGGGCGUAAAGAGCUCGUAGGCGGUGUGUCGCGUCGGCCGUGAAAACCUGGGGCUCAACUCUGGGCGUGCGGUCGAUACGGGCAUCACUGGAGUUCGGCAGGGGAGACUGGAAUUCCUGGUGUAGCGGUGAAAUGCGCAGAUAUCAGGAGGAACACCGGUGGCGAAGGCGGGUCUCUGGGCCGUAACUGACGCGUGAGGAGCGAAAGCCAGGGAGCGAACGGG